GAUGAAGAACGUAGCGAAAUGCGAUAAGUAAUGUGAAUUGCAGAAUUCAGUGAAUCAUCGAAUCUUUGAACGCAUCUUGCGCUCCUUGGUAUUCCGAGGAGCAUGCCUGUUUGAGUGUCAUUUAACUUCUCAACCACAUUGGAUAUUUUUUUUCCGAUGCCGGCUUGGAUGUGGGGGUUGUUUGCAGGCUUUUUGUAACAAAAAAGGUCGGCUCCCCUGAAAUGUAUUAGUGGUAUCUGAGGCUAUUACUAUUAGGUGUGAUAAUUAUCUAUGCCUUUUGGGUAUGCCGCAUGAACAGAUUAUGCUGCUUCUAACGAAAACUAUUUUGAUGAAUUUGACCUCAAAUCAGGUAGGACUACCCGCUGAACUUAAGCAUAUCAUAAGCGGAGGA
RNAcentral lists this unclassified non-coding RNA (391 nucleotides) under soil metagenome. RNAcentral describes it as "partial contains 5.8S ribosomal RNA, internal transcribed spacer 2, and large subunit ribosomal RNA". The stretch from base 1 to 120 matches the Rfam family "5.8S ribosomal RNA", at positions 35 to 154 of the family's 154-position model. The record is from RNAcentral.